This 21-nucleotide transfer RNA is filed under the name Gavilea araucana. Its description in RNAcentral is "transfer RNA-Cys". The record is from RNAcentral. Lineage: Eukaryota; Viridiplantae; Streptophyta; Magnoliopsida; Asparagales; Orchidaceae.
GGCGGCAUGGCCAAGUGGUAA